AGAAGCCAGCAAGUAACCCAAAAAUGGUGGGAGCAGCCAACAACCAGCCGAUACGGGAUGACGAAGAGGAGCCAAAUAUGUUUAUUCCGAUUAUUAACCAGCGCCAUUAAUUUAAUUCAACACGCUGCCAUUCCUUAUAAAAACAUUAGCGAUGUAUUGUUUCCGACUGACUAUUGUGGAGUUAAUGGAUUUAAGAUUAAAACUUUCGGAAAAAUA
Long non-coding RNA from Drosophila rhopaloa, 216 nucleotides. RefSeq lists it as uncharacterized. The transcript is spliced from 2 exons. The record is from RefSeq and is a predicted model, not a curated record. Lineage: Eukaryota; Metazoa; Arthropoda; Insecta; Diptera; Drosophilidae.